RNAcentral lists this ribosomal RNA (1043 nucleotides) under Gaeumannomyces avenae. RNAcentral's name for it is "SSU rRNA". It matches the Rfam family "Eukaryotic small subunit ribosomal RNA", at positions 55 to 1108 of the family's 1831-position model. The record is from RNAcentral. Lineage: Eukaryota; Fungi; Ascomycota; Sordariomycetes; Magnaporthales; Magnaporthaceae.
AUGUCUAAGUAUAAGCAAUUAUACGGCGAAACUGCGAAUGGCUCAUUAAAUCAGUUAUCGUUUAUUUGAUAGUACCUUACUACUUGGAUAACCGUGGUAAUUCUAGAGCUAAUACAUGCUAAAAACCCCGACUUCGGAAGGGGUGUAUUUAUUAGAUUAAAAACCAAUGCCCUUCGGGGCUCACUGGUGAUUCAUGAUAACUUCUCGAAUCGCACGGCCUUGCGCCGGCGAUGGUUCAUUCAAAUUUCUGCCCUAUCAACUUUCGACGGCUGGGUCUUGGCCAGCCGUGGUGACAACGGGUAACGGAGGGUUAGGGCUCGACCCCGGAGAAAACGCCUGAGAAACGGCGUUUACAUCCAAGGAAGGCAGCAGGCGCGCAAAUUACCCAAUGCCGACUCGGCGAGGUAGUGACGAUAAAUACUGAUACAGGGCUCUUUUGGGUCUUGUAAUUGGAAUGAGUACAAUUUAAAUCCCUUAACGAGGAACAAUUGGAGGGCAAGUCUGGUGCCAGCAGCCGCGGUAAUUCCAGCUCCAAUAGCGUAUAUUAACAUUGCUGAGGUUAAAAAGCUCGUAGUUGAACCUUGGGCCUGGCUGGCCGGUCCGCCUCACCGCGUGCACUGGUCCGGCCGGGCCUUUCCCUCUGGGGAUCCCCAUGCCCUUCACUGGGCGUGGCGGGGAACCGGGACUUUUACUUUGAAAAAAUUAGAGUGUUCAAAGCAGGCCUAUGCUCGAAUACAUUAGCAUGGAAUAAUAGAAUAGGACGUGCGGUUCUAUUUUGUUGGUUUCUAGGACCGCCGUAAUGAUUAAUAGGGACAGUCGGGGGCGUCAGUAUUCAAUUGUCAGAGGUGAAAUUCUUGGAUUUAUUGAAGACUAACUACUGCGAAGGCAUUCGCCAAGGAUGUUUUCAUUAAUCAGGAACGAAAGUUAGGGGAUCGAAGACGAUCAGAUACCGUCGUAGUCUUAACCGUAAACUAUGCCUGUUAGGGAUCGGACGGUGUUAUUUUUUGACCCGUCCGGCACCUUACACGAAAGUACAAGUUUCU